Long non-coding RNA from Oncorhynchus tshawytscha (Chinook salmon), 1514 nucleotides. Lineage: Eukaryota; Metazoa; Chordata; Actinopteri; Salmoniformes; Salmonidae. The record is from Ensembl.
GGGGAAACAGAGGGAGAGAGGGAGUGAGAUUAGGGAAAACAGAGGGAGAGUGGGAGUGAGAUUAGGGGAAAACAGAGGGAGAGGGAGUGAGAUUAGGGGAAAACAGAGGGAGAGAGGGAGUGAGAUUAGGGAAAACAGAGGGAGAGAGGGAGUGAGAUUAGGGGAAAACAGAGGGAGAGAGGGAGUGAGAUGAGGGGAAAACAGAGGGAGAGAGGGAGUGAGAUUAGGGAAAAACAGAGGAAGAGAGGGAGAGAGAUUAGGGGAAAACAGAGGGAGUGAGAUUAGGGGAAAACAGAGGGAGAGAGGGAGUGAGAUUAGGGAAAAACAGAGGGAGAGUGGGAGUGAGAUUAGGGGAAAACAGAGGGAGAGAGGGAGAGAGAUUAGGGGAAAACAGAGGGAGUGAGAUUAGGGGAAAACAGAGUGAGAGAGGGAGUGAUAUUAUGGGAAAACAGACGGAGAGAGGGAGUGAGAUUAGGGGAAAACAGAGGGAGAGAGGGAGUGAGAUUAGGGAAAAACAGAGGGAGAGUGGGAGUGAGAUUAGGGGUAAACAGAGGGAGAGAGGGAGUGAGAUAAAGGGAAAACAGAGGGAGAGAGGGAGUGAGAUUAUGGGAAACAGAGGGAGAGAGGGAGUGAGAUUAGAGGAAAACAGAGGGAGAGAGGGAGAGAGAUUAGGGGAAAACAGAGGGAAGGGAGUGAUAUUAGGGGAAAACAGAGGGAGAGAGGGAGUGAGAUUAUGGGAAACAGAGGGAGAGAGGGAGUGAGAUUAGGGAAAACAGAGGGAGAGAGGGAGUGAGAUUAGGGGAAAACAGAGGGAGUGAUAUUAGGGGAAAACAGAGGGAGAGAGGGAGUGAGAUUGGGGGAAAACAGAGGGAGAGAGGGAGUGAGAUUAGGGGAAACAGAGGGAGUGAGAUUAAGGGAAAACAGAGGGAGAGAGGGAGUGAGAUUAGGGAAAACAGAGGGAGAGAGGGAGUGAGAUUAGGGGAAAACAGAGGAAGAGAGGGAGAGAGAUUAGGGGAAAACAGAGGGAGUGAGAUUAGGGGAAACAGAGGGAGAGAGGGAGUGAGAUUAGGGGAAAACAGAGGGAGUGAGAUUAAGGGAAAACAGAGGGAGAGAGGGAGUGAGAUUAGGGAAAACAGAGGGAGAGAGGGAGUGAUAUUAGGGGAAAACAGAGGGAGAGAGGGAGUGAGAUUAGGGGAAAACAGAGGGAGAGAGGGAGUGAGAUUAGGGAAAACAGAGGGAGAGAGGGAGUGAUAUUAGGGGAAAACAGAGGGAGAGAGGGAGUGAGAUUAGGGGAAAACAGAGGGAGAGAGGGAGUGAGAUUAGGGAAAACAGAGGGAGUGAGAUUAGGGGAAAACAGAGGGAGAGAGGGAGUGAGAUUAGGGGAAAACAGAGGGAGAGAGAUUAGGGGAGGGAGAGAGGGAGUGAGAGGGAGUGAGGGAGUGAGAUUAGGGGAAAACAGAGGGAGAGAGGGAGUGAGAUUAGGGAAAACAGAGGGAUAGAGGGAGUGAGAUUAG